Long non-coding RNA from Boleophthalmus pectinirostris (great blue-spotted mudskipper), 1379 nucleotides. RefSeq lists it as uncharacterized. The transcript has 4 exons. The record is from RefSeq and is a predicted model, not a curated record. NCBI's taxonomy places the organism in Eukaryota, Metazoa, Chordata, Actinopteri, Gobiiformes, Gobiidae.
AAUACGAGUGGGUGGAUUAACGACUCAGUGGACAUGUAUGACCAACUUUCAUUUUUGAUUCCCAGUGGAAAUAUCGAUGUUUACUCGCACUUAUUCAAAACGGACCUAAGGAUUUUACGCACAACGGAUUAUAUAGUUUCUGGGACGUGGAGGUAUAACUUCAUCGCGGUGGGAACAGUAGAUGGAUGCUGUACUCCAGCUGUGGUCUUGGUGGAUACAUCGGGAUGUCCCGUUCCAACACUUGCCCGUUUGUGCACUCAGGUCCAACUGCUGGACGUGCACAAUACGUGACGCGUGCCACUGUCACAUAUGACCCAUUUCGUGAGGUCCUCAGUUCAUUUUGGCCCAAUGACGAAUAACAUCCUUGGAUAUAGUCUAUUUGAGAAAUCUGUCCCUCGUAGUGGAUAAUGACACUUUUACCGCACGGGAUUAUCAUGGCCAGUCAGUGAGGGCAAAUUUCCAGGAAAGAGGUGUCGCCCUGUGACUGACUUCUGAGUAUACAAAGAUGGCCUGCCUUCGCCGCAAAGAUGCUGAUUGAACCAAAAUCACUUAAUAGGAGCAUUUGAAAUCAAGUUUGGACUCUGAAGAUCCAGAUGUUGGUGCCUGGCAUGAUGGCUUACAGAUGCAGCUCUGACAUCUCACGAUCUGACCGGGAGGAUAGAGCUCAAGCACUAUGGACUUAAAGAUACAUUUCUAUAACAUUCUAUAACUUUUCUGGACAACACAAGAUUCAUUUUACUGGACAAAGAAACAUAUGGUCCCUGUGCAUGUUUACAAGUAUAACACUGGCUACACAUGGUUUAUAAAUAAAACUGACUCUGUUUCUGUUUUUCUUUUCAAACUGUAACAUAAAUAUUCAUAUUUUGGAUAACACUGAAUAAUGAAAAUAUUGUGUUAUUAUGUGCCGAAAUCUUGGACAAGAAAUGCUACUAACUAAAAAGCUGUAUCCAUGAACUUAAAUAGGAUGCAGUUACAAAGUGAAAAUACUUUUUCAGUUUUCCCUAAAAUAUUUAUAUUGUUUUAGACUUAAAUGAUUUCCUUAUCUUAACAUCCUAACUUCCUAACAAAAAUCUAAGUUUAUUAAAUAGCUCUUUGCUCAAAGUAGCCUAGUUUUAAAGCAUUGUUUUGUAUUUUUGAAAAUGGGAUCUUAGUUACAGUAAAACUCAUGUCAUUGUUCGAACUUGUUUUCAUUACGAGAGAGAUCAUUGUCACCAAGUUUUAAUAAACCCAAAUCAGGGAACAGUAAAUGUAUUUCAUUAUGAGAAUUUGGCUUUGCAUCAGCAACUGUUGAAUGUCUGUCAGCAAAUGGAUUAAUAUUGUGAGUACUGCAUGAAUUCUGUUGUGUCUGUGAAAAUGCAUUAACAUAAAUAAAGAGAGUG